This 484-nucleotide ribosomal RNA is filed under the name uncultured bacterium. Its description in RNAcentral is "partial 16S ribosomal RNA". It matches the Rfam family "Bacterial small subunit ribosomal RNA", at positions 30 to 507 of the family's 1533-position model. The record is from RNAcentral.
AUUGAACGCUGGCGGCAGGCCUAACACAUGCAAGUCGAGCGGAUGAAGGGAGCUUGCUCCUGGAUUCAGCGGCGGACGGGUGAGUAAUGCCUAGGAAUCUGCCUGGUAGUGGGGGAUAACGUCCGGAAACGGGCGCUAAUACCGCAUAUGCCCUGAGGGAGAAAGUGGGGGAUCUUCGGACCUCACGCUAUCAGAUGAGCCUAGGUCGGAUUAGCUAGUUGGUGGGGUAAAGGCCUACCAAGGCGACGAUCCGUAACUGGUCUGAGAGGAUGAUCAGUCACACUGGAACUGAGACACGGUCCAGACUCCUACGGGAGGCAGCAGUGGGGAAUAUUGGACAAAGGGCGAAAGCCUGAUCCAGCCAUGCCGCGUGUGUGAAGAAGGUCUUCGGAUUGUAAAGCACUUUAAGUUGGGAGGAAGGGCAGUAAGUUAAUACCUUGCUGUUUUGACGUUACCAACAGAAUAAGCACCGGCUAACUUCGUG